This 82-nucleotide transfer RNA is filed under the name Colletotrichum fructicola Nara gc5. RNAcentral's name for it is "tRNA-Lys for anticodon CUU". It matches the Rfam family "tRNA". Rfam says of the family: Transfer RNA (tRNA) molecules are approximately 80 nucleotides in length. Their secondary structure includes four short double-helical elements and three loops (D, anti-codon, and T loops). The record is from RNAcentral. Lineage: Eukaryota; Fungi; Ascomycota; Sordariomycetes; Glomerellales; Glomerellaceae.
GCCCGGCUAGCUCAAUCGGUAGAGCGUGAGACUCUUAAUCUCAAGGUUGUCAAGGUUGUGGGUUCGACCCCCACGUCGGGCU